CAUGCUGCUUGCGUACGGGUGUCAUCGUGCUGCCUCAGGAUUCUCUAGCGGGCCUAGUGUCUGCUCUCUACAGAACAGGGAGGGGCAGCUUCCAUUUAAGAGGAAACUCUCACUCAGCGAAUCACUGCUAAUACAUAAUUCACACUGGGUGCUGGCUUGAGCAGCUUUGUCAGCUGCCUUCACCGUGAGCUUUCCGGCUCCACCUCU
Molecule: long non-coding RNA, 207 nt
Filed under: Homo sapiens (human)
Lineage: Eukaryota; Metazoa; Chordata; Mammalia; Primates; Hominidae
Description: HSALNT0068132
Source: RNAcentral